This 75-nucleotide transfer RNA is filed under the name Acidobacteriota bacterium. RNAcentral's name for it is "Acidobacteria bacterium (activated sludge metagenome) tRNA-Lys". The record is from RNAcentral. Lineage: Bacteria; Pseudomonadati; Acidobacteriota.
GGUGCAACGGGGGGAAGGCGCCGCCGUUGACUCUUAAUCAGCGGGUCCUCGGUUCGAGUCCGAGAGGAACCACCA